UGAAGGAUGCAGUUCAUGUGCUGCUUAGUGACUCACGGGGAGAAUGCCUUCAGUGUGAGAAGAUGCUGUCAGCUUAUCCAGACUUCAAGUUUGAGUGCAUUUGCUGUAGCUGCUCUUCUAGUAACUUUAUAAUCCUCUUUCCCAUCACUGUGUGUACUGUCUGAGGGCCACAUGUUUUUGAGGUGUCGUCCUGGGAGAUAUGGCAUGGAGAGCUGUAUCCUUCCCCUCGUUUUUGAGCGCAAUUUAGAACAUGAUUUUUUGCCACAGGAUUUAGCAAUGACAUCACCACUGGUCUGAAAACAACAGAUCAUUACUGAUACUCUUUGCUGUGAGUCCCAUUUUGCAGUAGGUGUUAACGAGGUAUUGGGUUGUGACGCAACAGGACACCUGCUGUGUUGUAAUAGGCGAUAACAGGGUAUCAGGUUGUGAUGUGAUAGGACCUCCCCUGCUCUGUGAGUAACAUGUGACGCAAGCUUAAGGGGCCUAGGUGAAACGGAAUGUGUAUUUAAGGAGUCGUCGUGCCUUAAUAAAUUGCCAUUUGCUUCUCCAUCGUAUUGGUGUCAGUGUUGCUAUGGCCCUGGCAAGUGUGGAUUGCUGGCCCUCUGGUGGUGCGGCCUUGGACACAGUGGUUGCCAGAGACAAACUGCAGAAGCUGUACUACAGACACAAGUUUAUGGUCACAUCAUAGAGACUAUGAAGUGGUUAUCUUCACAAGUUAUUGUUCUAAUAAUUUGAAAUUAUUUGUCUUCUACUUAUUGAGAAGAAAAGUUUUAACAGUAGUUAUUCCAAUAACUUAUAAGUUGCUAUUGCAUAACAAAUGCAUUCUUUGGUUUAUUGUUUGGCUAAGUUUGUGUACAAUACUCACAAGGGUUUAAAUACUAUGUAUCAAUGAAAUAUUUGUAUGUCUUGAAAGUGCCAG
Molecule: long non-coding RNA, 919 nt
Filed under: Phasianus colchicus (ring-necked pheasant)
Lineage: Eukaryota; Metazoa; Chordata; Aves; Galliformes; Phasianidae
Description: lncRNA (ENSPCLG00000017079.1)
Source: RNAcentral